Non-coding RNA from Vicia faba (fava bean), 372 nucleotides. The record is from the annotation of a GenBank genome assembly. Lineage: Eukaryota; Viridiplantae; Streptophyta; Magnoliopsida; Fabales; Fabaceae.
AUGAGAGCCGGGAAUUAUAUAACUCCUGAAAGUUCGACGGAUUUGGAUUUGCUGCAGUCAACAAUUUCACGCAUUCACACAGUCGGUGUAUCGGUAGCAGUUGAAUCAAGAUCAGAUUAUCCAGAUUUCAAUGGUUUUCUAAAAUCACAAUAUGCAUUGAAAUUUGGACGGUUAGGUCUCAUUCAACUGCCACUUACAUGUCGACUGUGUCGGUUGCUAAAUGCAGCAAAUCUGAAUCCAAGUUUCAGAGGGAGAAUGAAGCAGAACCUGUUCUUGUUCUUGUUCUGUUCCAUUACUAUGUAUGAGUUAAUACCACAUUUAAUCCAAUCUAAUUGUCUGUGUUUCAAAAGUGUUUAUGGAAAAUGUAGCUAG